CGAUUCCGGCUACGGAUGGUCAUGCGUCGCAUUAGCUAGUUGGCGGGGUAACGGCCCACCAAGGCGACGAUGCGUAGGGGUUCUGAGAGGAAGGUCCCCCACACUGGUACUGAGACACGGACCAGACUCCUACGGGAGGCAGCAGUGAGGAAUAUUGGUCAAUGGCCGCAGGGCUGAACCAGCCAAGUCGCGUGAGGGAUGACGGUCCUAUGGAUUGUAAACCUCUUUUGUCAGGGAGCAAAGGACGCCACGUGUGGCGUUUUGCGAGUACCUGAAGAAAAAGCAUCGGCUAACUCCGUGCCAGCAGCCGCGGUAAUACGGAGGAUGCGAGCGUUAUCCGGAUUUAUUGGGUUUAAAGGGUGCGCAGGCGGAAUGUCAAGUCAGCGGUAAAAUUUCGGGGCUCAACCCCGUCGUGCCGUUGAAACUGGCGUUCUUGAGUGAGCGAGAAGUAUGCGGAAUGCGUGGUGUAGCGGUGAAAUGCAUAGAUAUCACGCAGAACUCCGAUUGCGAAGGCAGCAUACCGGCGCUCAACUGACGCUCAUGCACGAAAGCGUGGGUAUCGAACAGGAUUAGAUACCCUGGUAGUCCACGCAGUAAACGAUGAAUACUAACUGUCCGGGCCGAUUGAGGUCUGG
RNAcentral lists this ribosomal RNA (635 nucleotides) under uncultured bacterium. Its description in RNAcentral is "bacterial SSU rRNA". It matches the Rfam family "Bacterial small subunit ribosomal RNA", at positions 210 to 842 of the family's 1533-position model. The record is from RNAcentral.